RNAcentral lists this ribosomal RNA (465 nucleotides) under uncultured bacterium. RNAcentral describes it as "partial 16S ribosomal RNA". It matches the Rfam family "Bacterial small subunit ribosomal RNA", at positions 338 to 795 of the family's 1533-position model. The record is from RNAcentral.
CCUACGGGAGGCAGCAGUGGGGAAUAUUGCGCAAUGGGCGAAAGCCUGACGCAGCGACGCCGCGUGAGGGAUGAAGGUCUUCGGAUCGUAAACCUCUGUCAGCAGGGAAGAACGGUCACUGUGCUAAUCAGCAGUGAAUUGACGGUACCUGCAAAGGAAGCACCGGCUAACUCCGUGCCAGCAGCCGCGGUAAUACGGGGGGUGCGAGCGUUAAUCGGAAUUACUGGGCGUAAAGCGCUCGUAGGCGGUAUGUCAAGGCAAGGGUGAAAUCCCCGCGCUCAACGUGGGAACGGCCUUUGAAACUGGCAGACUGGAGUGUGUGAGAGGAUAGUGGAAUGCCAGGUGUAGGAGUGAAAUCCGUAGAUAUCUGGAGGAACAUCAGUGGCGAAGGCGACUAUCUGGCACAUAACUGACGCUGAGGAGCGAAAGCGUGGGUAGCAAACAGGAUUAGAUACCCGGGUAGUC